This 146-nucleotide unclassified non-coding RNA is filed under the name soil metagenome. RNAcentral's name for it is "partial internal transcribed spacer 1". The record is from RNAcentral.
UAAUAAGUGUUUUAUGGCACUUUUUAAAUCCAUAUCCACCUUGUGUGCAAUGUCGGUCGAUCUUCUUUUUUUGAGGAUCGACCAAACAUCAACCUUUAUUUUUAACUCUUUGUCUGAAAAAUAUUAUGAAUAAACAAUUCGAAAUA